RNAcentral lists this ribosomal RNA (383 nucleotides) under uncultured bacterium. RNAcentral describes it as "bacterial SSU rRNA". It matches the Rfam family "Bacterial small subunit ribosomal RNA", at positions 30 to 416 of the family's 1533-position model. The record is from RNAcentral.
AUUGAACGCUGGCGGCAUGCCUUACACAUGCAAGUCGAACGGCAGCACGGGAGCAAUCCUGGUGGCGAGUGGCGAACGGGUGAGUAAUAUAUCGGAACGUGCCCAGUCGUGGGGAUAACGUAGCGAAAGCUACGCUAAUACCGCAUACGAUCUAUGGAUGAAAGCGGGGGAUCGCAAGACCUCGCGCGAUUGGAGCGGCCGAUAUCAGAUUAGGUAGUUGGUGAGGUAAAGGCUCACCAAGCCGACGAUCUGUAGCUGGUCUGAGAGGACGACAGCCACACUGGGACUGAGACACGGCCAGACUCCUACGGGAGGCAGCAGUGGGGAAUUUUGGACAAUGGCGCAAGCCUGAUCCAGCAAAUGCCGCGUGCAGGAUGAAGGCC